UCCGCGGCGCGACGCUCCCACGGACUUAGCUGGGAUGCAGAAUAGAAGCUGGGCCUUUGUCUGACUCCCCUGCAACAGUCAGCCACAGACGGGAAGGCAGCGCAGGAAACUGAGGCCAAAGGAGCCGCGCUUCCUCAUGAGCAUGAAGCGGCAAAGCCUGAACUAGAAGCUUCUAACGCCUAACCGUCCUCUUGCCGCACCAGGACCUACCUCUGCAAGGCCCUUCCUGACUUUUUCCUUAGAAUGUGUGUAUAUGUGUCUUUUUCCUUUUCUGAUGCUAAGACACCAGAAACACCAAUGUUAAGCAGAUUUCCAUCGUUGGAAGUUAAAACACCCGAACACAAGUGUUUUCUUGA
This 356-nucleotide non-coding RNA is filed under the name Pan troglodytes (chimpanzee). Lineage: Eukaryota; Metazoa; Chordata; Mammalia; Primates; Hominidae. The record is from RNAcentral.